GACAGCAGCCGCCGCGGUAAUACGUAGGUGGCAAGCGUUGUCCGGAAUUAUUGGGCGUAAAGGGCUCGCAGGCGGUUUCUUAAGUCUGAUGUGAAAGCCCCCGGCUCAACCGGGGAGGGUCAUUGGAAACUGGGAAACUUGAGUGCAGAAGAGGAGAGUGGAAUUCCACGUGUAGCGGUGAAAUGCGUAGAGAUGUGGAGGAACACCAGUGGCGAAGGCGACUCUCUGGUCUGUAACUGACGCUGAGGAGCGAAAGCGUGGGGAGCGAACAGGAUUAGAUACCCCAGUAGUCCCUGUCUCUUAUAC
Molecule: ribosomal RNA, 306 nt
Filed under: uncultured bacterium
Lineage: Bacteria
Description: partial 16S ribosomal RNA
Rfam family: Bacterial small subunit ribosomal RNA
Source: RNAcentral